Molecule: ribosomal RNA, 471 nt
Filed under: uncultured bacterium
Lineage: Bacteria
Description: partial 16S ribosomal RNA
Rfam family: Bacterial small subunit ribosomal RNA
Source: RNAcentral
GACGAACGCUGGCGGCGUGCUUAACACAUGCAAGUCGAACGAUGAAGCCUAGCUUGCUAGGUGGAUUAGUGGCGAACGGGUGAGUAAUACGUGAGUAACCUACCUUUAACUCUGGGAUAAGCCUGGGAAACUGGGUCUAAUACCGGAUACGACCAAUCUCCGCAUGGGGUGUUGGUGGAAAGCGUUAUGUAGUGGUUAUAGAUGGGCUCACGGCCUAUCAGCUUGUUGGUGAGGUAACGGCUCACCAAGGCGACGACGGGUAGCCGGCCUGAGAGGGUGACCGGCCACACUGGGACUGAGAAACGGCCCAGACUCCUACGGGAGGCAGCAGUGGGGAAUAUUGCACAAUGGGCGCAAGCCUGAUGCAGCGACGCAGCGUGAGGGAUGACGGCCUUCGGGUUGUAAACCUCUGUUAGCAGGGAAGAAGAGAAAUUGACGGUACCUGCAGAGAAAGCGCCGGCUAACUACGUG